UGCUUCAGAUUCCCUGUUUCCGUCUCUCUCUGCCCCUCCCCUGCUCAAGCCCUGUCUCUGUCUCUCAAAAAUGAAUAAACGUUAAAAAAAUUAUUUUAAAGUGUUACCGAAUUCAGGGUAGCACUCCUCAGGAGGCAUUUGCCACAUCAACAGAGCACAGCCGUGCAACUCAGUGUGCUGCUGGUAGGUGGCAUCGUGGCUACCCUCUGGGUAUCCAGCCACACCUGCCCCGAUGAGUGGCAGCCUCUUAUAACUGUUUUGGGUUGGCCCAAACAGUGGUUCACAAGCCUGGCUAUACAUUAGAAUCUCCUGGGAAGGAUCUCUGACGCCCAGAAACUCCAAUAGCAACUGGAUGGCAAUCCCUGGAGUGUGGGGUGACGCUCACGUGCAGUGGCAUUGACAGUCGCUGGUACAAACCAUCAGAGGACCCUCAUCCCUUUGCCACAAUGAUUGGUUCAGAGAUGGGUAGUGGCCUGAGGCCCAAGCCAGUCAGCUUCUGAUGAGGUAUUAACAUUUGGAACAAUGGGGCUGAGUCAGAACUUCGUAUCAGGUGCAACAUCAAGUCUAUUCAUUUAUUUUAUUUUUGUUGGAGCACAGAGGGUGUUGUAGCAAAGGGAAGAAGAACACAGAUGGCAUGUUUUGCAAUAUUUGGGUAUCUUUGCAAUGGGCUCCUCCAAAAAUCAUUAAUUAUUUCAUCUUGGAGAGCUCACCUUCCAGUUUUUCAGGAUCCAGAGGCUGAAAUUAUUCAUCUUCACUCUGAACUGUUCAACUGUUUGUUCAAGUCUGUAAGAUCGGCUUUUUGUUAAAACUGCCUUCUCUCGGAUACAUCGAUGAGAAAAGGUCACACCCUCUACCCAUUGGGCAUUUGAGCACAGAGUUACAGUGCACAUUCUCUUGGCAAGCCUCCAAUUGCGCUUUCUGGAACUUCUCUUUCCAACCAUUCAUACAGGCUUUUCCAGAUCACAGAUGAAAACCUCUUACUUCCUUUGUCACUCCCAUAGACUAAAGCUCCUUCUUUGUGAAGAUGACUCAAGGAGGGAGAGAGGAGGAGAAGCCACAGCCCAUCAACGUCUCUGGGCAUCACACCCCACUUGGCUGGGCGUUUCUGGUAGGCACAACCCUCUGGUAGCGGAAAGAGAUCGCUAGGCUAGGCUCGUACUCAGAAGUGAAGAGUGCAAAAUAACUAGAAAGAAGGUGACCCAAGCCUUCCUUCUGAUGUUAGCUUCUUAUGACCCGGAGAAGAAAGAAAGCGGGCUUGUCACAAACGCUGUCUCUAGCACAGUGCCUGCCACGUGGUAGACAUGAAUUACCUGCCCGAUGGAUGAAUAUACGGGAAGAGCAAAAGUUCGACAACUGCCAGAUUUGGUUUUAAGUACUGUUAGCGACCCAGACCUGGAAUGCGUAAGUUAUCGUCAAAGGCCAGUAUUCGCAGGGCUGGGCGCUCCCUAGCUGUACUCUGUCUGCCUGUUUGUUGCUCCACUAAGUCACUUGGACGAUAGAAGUGGUGGCCUAGCAAGUGAAAUAGCUUGUGCGAAGGCAGCUUAUACAGCCCCUACCGCUCAGAUACUCAGUGAAGGACAACCCAUCACCUUCCAGACGCUCUUGGUUCCAGCUGCUAGCCCACGUGUGUUCGGGCUCCACCUCCUCACCACAUCGUUCUGCCGUCACACUUCAGAUUUGUCCCUCCCUCUCCCCUUUCAGAAGAUGAGCUCCUUGAAGACAAGAACCAAGUUGUACCUUGGUUUCCUCUCUCCUUGGCCCAGCGAGUCCUCCCUAUGUGUCUUCUGAAGGAAUUAAAACAAGGCUGUGGGGCAUGCUGGCAAAAUCGUAUUUUGAGAUCUUCCUGGUUAAACAAAAUGGUAUAAAGAUCAUCCCAUAGAGAGUUUAAGUCUGAAUUCUGCCUCCGCCUCAUGGUCCUCUGGGGAAGGCGCUUAGUGACCAGGACCCCUUUAGGUCAUCUGGGUAGCAGACAACGUGGUUCUAGGUAGCUUGCAGCUUUAGAAUUCUACGAGUUCAAGCUACUUCUCGUAAAAAAAAUUUAGCCCCUGACUAGAUUUGUUCACAAACUGAACCUGUUUGGAGGCCGCAGUAACUACAGGCGAAAGUGGAAUUUUCUAAAUCACCUCUCCCACCUCAUUCCGUGUAGAGAAGACUUGGAAUAAAAGAAAAGCUUUCUUUGGAAAGAAAUCAUGACAAAUCCUGAUUUGUCAUGAUCUCUUCCAUCCCUGCAGGAAAGCCACAGGAAAAACAGGUUUUCUCUAUAGAAACACAACUACAACAUACACCUUCAGGAAUGGCCUCACGUUUAAGUGCCUGUGAAUAAAUCAUUUCCUUUGAUUUUGCUCUAACCAAGACCCUCCCACAGCCAUGAGGCCUGUCUUCUUUCAGCCAGAGAAAACUCACAGCUUAAAGGCAGACAGAAGCCCAUUCUACUGCUACCGGCUGUAAGUUUUGUGGUGCCGGCCUGCAACAUGGCCGCAGUAAUCCCUCCCCGCUGGUCUUCAUGUCUUUGUGUCAGCCUCUCCCACUGUCCCACACUGUACAGAAUUGUCUGUGUGAUCAACAGAAUACAGAGAAGCGAUGAUAUGCCACUUCCCAAACUCAGUUAUAAAAGACUAUGGCUUCAGACCUGGGCUCAUAUUCUCUCUCUCUCUCUCGUCCCUUGCCCUAGUGGAAGCCAGUUGCCAUGGGAUGAAGACAUUCAGGCAAACAGUGGAGAGGCCCAUGAUAAGGCAGAAAACUGAAAUCCCUGCUAACAGCUGGUGAGAAAAGGAGCACCUACUUACUGAGAAGAUGCUCAGAAGAGACCAGGGAAAGGGUGAUGGUUCCUAGCUUCUGAACCCUCCUCCACCUGCACGACAGAGGAGAAGGAUGCUUUAUGGACACACUUUCCUCACGUGCCUGCAUUCUGUUGCCACCUCCCGAGUUUCAGAGCUGGCCCUUUGUUUUGUCUCAGAGUACCACUUCCCUUGCAGUUUUCCUAUUGAGGUGAACUGCCCCAUUUUGAGGAUGAUUUGCUACGAUAUUACUGCCACUGCAGUGUAUAAAUAUCACUGGCAGAUUGAGAGCAGAAAUAUUUUUCAAAUAACUGUGCCCGGAUCCUGUCUCUGUAAGUGUCUGUCUCUGCCCAUAGAAUACGAGCUCUACAAGGAAUUUGUUCUUUGUCAUUUUUGUGCACUGAAGAACCCCAAGGGCCUGGAACUUGACAGCUGGUAGACAUACAACAAAUACUUCCUGACUGAUGCUGGCUAUCAUCCCACGACUGCACUGUUCAUGAAGAUCAACCAACUCCUCAUGCUCUACUCCUUGACCACUGAGAGUCCUCGGGUUUCUUUUUCAAGAAAAUACUGAGCAGCCGGUGAAAAAUUCUACUUACCGAGUGAUUACAUUUUCUUGAAAACUUAUUCUGGCUAUGACUCAGCCUCGGGAGCUUGGUUGGUGUGAAUAUACCCUGGGUGAGCUAAUAAAAUCAAAGCCCUGAAAAUGCAAAGUUGAGGUCCCAACCCUGAAUCCAUGCUCCCCUGGGGACUGGGACGAGGAAAAGGGCAGUGCAGAUGUGGAGAAGUGGACAGCCGACGAUGGGAGGCACUCUAGGGUGUUUGAAGAAGGGCAUGCGGGUGGCUGUGCUUUAGGAUGAUUGACCUGGCUGGGCUGCGUCUAAAAGGAGCAGUCAGAGCUAACUUAGUGGUCCCCUGUCAUGUUCUUCUUGGGCAGCUCCAGGUUCAAAGAAGCUCCACGCAGCUCUGCAGGCGGGUCCAACCCAGACACAUGGCUCUCAGUCUGCAAACAUCAUGUCUUCACUGCACAGCCUGCCCUCAUCGAGAAGGGUGUCUCCAGUCUUUCCAAGAACAUGACACAUGACAAAGUUAGGACAGGACCGUAGACUCUCCAAGCUCCCUAUUGUACAUGACAUGGUUUAAAGAAUCAGAGUUUUCCUGAAAGAGGUAAGUUAACCUUGACUUGCAGAGUAUUUGGACAGUCACAAAAAGCCAUGGUAAGCAAUAAUUGUUCUGCUGGGACUUUACAAUAUCAAAAUCAGACAUUGAUGUCUGUCCACCCCAUGCAUUCCCCUCCCUCUGUGUGCAAGAAUUGAUUUCCACUAGUUGAAAUUCACACAAUAAAGGAAACUUUUGUUUUCAAUUCUGCUGAUGAGAGAGACAAUUAUAUGCGACCUCCUCAUUGAUUGACUGUGCUGUUUUCUUAGAUUUACUUCUUGGGAGAAUCAUUAAACAUAAGAGAAAAUGAUUUGUUUCCAUCGACUGGAUGAUGUGUCCAUCUGACAGCCCUGGUUUUUAUAUUAAAGUUAUUAUGUCAUUAAUGUAAUUUGCAGAAUCAAGAAGAAAUCACUCAAGUUCUGAUUGUAUUGCUGGUUAUGUUUUUUUCAAAUAAAUAAAAACUUUUUAAAGGAAAUAAAUCUGGUGACAACAAUAAUAGAUGAAGAGGCCAACUGCUCACAUCAUAAAUCACCACAAGCUUAAGGAAACUUGGUUACUUAAGUGCUGAGUGCUGCAAAGCUAGGUUUCUCAAAAUGUCCAUUUUCAUAUUGUGAAAUUCUUAGGACCGCUGCUAAUUGCAAGUACUUAGGAAAGAUGACUUCCCAUUGUUAAAUUCCUUUCUCAUUCUCAUGGCUGUCUCACUGCUUAAGGUUAGUAAGUUAACACGGAGCGUGGUAAAGCCGGGUUUGAUUCAGGUUUCCCCAAGUCUCCUCUGAACUUCGUGUGUUCGUGUCAGUUGGGGAGAUUGUGUGACUGUCAUUCUCAGUAACUUUUCUCUCCCCCGGCAACAACUGCCAAGAAA
Felis catus (domestic cat) is the source of this 4797-nucleotide long non-coding RNA. RefSeq lists it as uncharacterized. The record is from RefSeq and is a predicted model, not a curated record. The transcript is spliced from 11 exons. NCBI's taxonomy places the organism in Eukaryota, Metazoa, Chordata, Mammalia, Carnivora, Felidae.